GUAAUAAAAGCUAAAGUUUAAGCAUCGGUCUUGUAAACCGAAGAUUGGAAUUUUUUUCCUUAUUGCA
RNAcentral lists this transfer RNA (67 nucleotides) under Lamellomphalus manusensis. RNAcentral's name for it is "tRNA-Thr". It matches the Rfam family "tRNA". Rfam says of the family: Transfer RNA (tRNA) molecules are approximately 80 nucleotides in length. Their secondary structure includes four short double-helical elements and three loops (D, anti-codon, and T loops). Further hydrogen bonds mediate the characteristic L-shaped molecular structure. tRNAs have two regions of fundamental functional importance: the anti-codon, which is responsible for specific mRNA codon recognition, and the 3' end, to which the tRNAs corresponding amino acid is attached (by aminoacyl-tRNA synthetases). tRNAs cope with the degeneracy of the genetic code in two manners: having more than one tRNA (with a specific anti-codon) for a particular amino acid; and 'wobble' base-pairing, i.e. permitting non-standard base-pairing at the 3rd anti-codon position. Lineage: Eukaryota; Metazoa; Mollusca; Gastropoda; Neomphalida; Neomphalidae. The record is from RNAcentral.